This 586-nucleotide long non-coding RNA is filed under the name Linum usitatissimum (flax). Its description in RNAcentral is "long non-coding RNA (LUSI_LNC004221)". Lineage: Eukaryota; Viridiplantae; Streptophyta; Magnoliopsida; Malpighiales; Linaceae. The record is from RNAcentral.
GGCUCCACGAGGCGGGAUUUGGGCUUGGAGAACUCGGAUUGGAGGAGGCGUGGCUUGCGUCUGGCCAAAUUAAUUGUGUUGUUAGAAACAGGGGAGGAGGUCAUCCAUGGCGACAGAGUGGAAGGAGAAAUGGGGAAAGUAGAGGCGUGCGGAACACUGUGCGAAUGGGGUGGCGGGGGUCACACCUCACUCUCUGUGGGAAUCGGGUGGCGGAGUGACCAGCUCAAUGUUGGUUGGAGUUUGAGGGAACGAGGCGAACUGCGGGCUCGCCGGAGAGAUGGGAUGACGUGGGGAGCUCUGGAUUUGUACCACCACCGCCGCAUUAUCCUUGCUUCCGGCGGCGGGAUUCCGUCCUCUUCCUCCGGGUUCCAUUUAGUGAGUCAGGGAUGAUGAUGCAUUCCGGGAAAAAAAACAGAGAGAGAUGGUGAGAGGAGAAAGAAGAUAUGGUGGUAUGCCAGAGGGGCUGAGUUUGACUGAAGAAGAGAAGAUCCGCCAUUGCAAGUGGGGUGGGAGGGAAGGAAGAAGACGUGUGUCGGUCGCCAUGUGUGCUGGAGAAAUGAAGAAAAGUAAUGGAAGCAGGUUUUCA